RNAcentral lists this ribosomal RNA (407 nucleotides) under uncultured bacterium. Its description in RNAcentral is "partial 16S ribosomal RNA". It matches the Rfam family "Bacterial small subunit ribosomal RNA", at positions 30 to 526 of the family's 1533-position model. The record is from RNAcentral.
AUUGAACGCUGGCGGCAGGCCUAACACAUGCAAGUCGAGCGGAACGGCGGACGGGUGCGGCAUGCCUAGGAAUCUGCCUGGUAGUGUGGGAUAACGUCCGGAAACGGGCGCUAAUCCCGCAUACUAUUAGCUGAGCCUAGGUCGGAUUAGCUAGUUGGUGGGGUAAAGGCAUACCAAGGCGACGUUCCGUACCUGGUCUGAGAGGAUGAGCAGUCACACUGGAACUGGGACACGGUCAAGACGCCGCGGGGAGGAAGCACUGGGGAAUAUUGGCCAAUGGGCGAAAGCCUGAGCCAGCCAUGCGGCGUGUGUGAAGAAGGUCUUCGGUUUGGAAAGCACUUUAAGUUGGGAGGCGUUACCGACAGAAUAAGCACCGGCUAACUUCGUGCCAGCCGCCGCGGUAAUUC